This 424-nucleotide ribosomal RNA is filed under the name uncultured bacterium. RNAcentral describes it as "bacterial SSU rRNA". It matches the Rfam family "Bacterial small subunit ribosomal RNA", at positions 356 to 772 of the family's 1533-position model. The record is from RNAcentral.
GGGGAAUAUUGGACAAUGGGGGCAACCCUGAUCCAGCGAUGCCGCGUGAGUGAAGAAGGCCUUCGGGUCGUAAAGCUCUUUAGGUUGGGAAGAAGUGUAUUGGGUUAAUACCCUGAUACGUUGACGGUACCGACAGAAUAAGCACCGGCAAACUCUGUGCCAGCAGCCGCGGUAAUCCAGAGGGUGCGAGCGUUGUCCGGAAUCACUGGGCGUAAAGGGCGCGUAGGUGGCCCGACAUGUCAAUGGUGAAAGCUCGACGCUUAACGUCGAGUCGGCCACUGAUACUGUUGGGCUGGAGCACUGUAGAGGCUCAUGGAAUUCCGAGUGUAGCGGUGGAAUGCGUAGAGAUCCGGAAGAACACCGGUGGCGAAGACGGUGAGCUGGGCAGUUGCUGACACUGAGGCGCGACAGCGUGGGGAGCAAA